RNAcentral lists this long non-coding RNA (245 nucleotides) under Homo sapiens (human). Its description in RNAcentral is "HSALNT0171471". The record is from RNAcentral. Lineage: Eukaryota; Metazoa; Chordata; Mammalia; Primates; Hominidae.
GGGUCCGAAACCAAGGCGGGCUGCCAGGUGGGGCUGGACCACGGCUGUUCACCAGAACGGGCGUUGCCGGCCUGAGACUGGCGCGGUUGGCGAAGACAGCGAUGGCUGCUACGUGCAACUUCCACGUUCCCGGCCUGCCCUGGAGCUGACGGCGCUGACGGCUCCUGGGCCGGGAUCCGGCUCCCGGCCCACCCAGGCCAAGCUGCUGGCUAAGAAGCGCGUGGUGCGAAUGUUGCUGGUGAUCG